AGACCACCACAGUGACUUGCAAGCAACUCACUGCACUUAGGCACUGGACUACUUGAAUUUUUAAUUCAGUGACGGAAGGCUGCUGGGUGUAGUCAAGUACUUGACUUAUCGGUGCAUGUGUCAAGAUGGGAUUGACCACUCCAAUUUAGGAGCUGUGUACAGUCGUGUUUCAAUUUAGCAAAAUCUUGACCAGGAUAGUCCUUGUGAGGAGUCACAGGACUGUUUGAGUUGAGCAUGAUUCGGAUGAUCUAAUCAGGGUUGACAGUUUAACCCUGAGUCGUCCUAA
This 286-nucleotide long non-coding RNA is filed under the name Elaeis guineensis (African oil palm). Its description in RNAcentral is "long non-coding RNA (EGUI_LNC043282)". The record is from RNAcentral. Lineage: Eukaryota; Viridiplantae; Streptophyta; Magnoliopsida; Arecales; Arecaceae.